This 387-nucleotide long non-coding RNA is filed under the name Apteryx rowi (Okarito brown kiwi). RNAcentral's name for it is "lncRNA (ENSARWG00000015359.1)". Lineage: Eukaryota; Metazoa; Chordata; Aves; Apterygiformes; Apterygidae. The record is from RNAcentral.
UAGCACUAUAGGUAUGAUUUAAAUAUAGGGGAAUAUGCUCUUUCUGUCUUUCUCCGUAAACAGGACUAUCUGCAGAAUCUAUACAUAAAGUAAGUGGGGAGUUCAUGGCAAGCUUCUGCGGGGGAAGGGAGAAGAGGACCAGCACUGUGGUUAAAAAACUGCCGGAGCCGACUGUGUUUGUCCGGAGCUUCUGGGUGAAUCAGGUUCCAAUCUUGACAUCUGGACAAAUCCAUAAAAAGAUCUUCAUGGGUUUUUCACCACCAGAUAUAACUCAGGGCUGCUCUAAAAGGAACUUCGAAGAAAUUGAGAAAAACAGAAAGAGCAGUAUAUUAAUUUUAAGGAGAUGAAAGCAGUACAUGUCGUUCCUAAAUUUCAUGGAAAAUGCAC